GACGAACGCUGGCGGCGUGCUUAACACAUGCAAGUCGAACGGAAAGGCCCUGCUUUUGUGGGGUGCUCGAGUGGCGAACGGGUGAGUAACACGUGAGUAACCUGCACUUGACUUAGGGGUAACUUCAGGAAACUGGAGCUAAUACAGGAUAGGAGCUCCUGCUGCAUGGUGGGGGUUGGAAAGUUUCGGCGGUUGGGGAUGGACUCGCGGCGUAUCAGCUUGUUUGUGGGGUAGUGGCUGACCCAGGCUUUGCCGGGUAGCCGGCCUGAGAGGGUCAGCGGACACACUGGGACUGGGAUGCGGCCCAGACUCCAACGGGAGGCAGCGGUGGGGUAGAGUGCAUUAUGGGAGGAAGCCUGAUGCAGCAACGCCGCGUGCGGUGAGUCGGCCUGCGUGUUGGAAUCCACAGUCGUCUGUGACGAGGCGUGAGUGACGGUAACGGGUAAAGAAGCACCGGCUAACUACGUG
RNAcentral lists this ribosomal RNA (468 nucleotides) under uncultured bacterium. RNAcentral describes it as "partial 16S ribosomal RNA". It matches the Rfam family "Bacterial small subunit ribosomal RNA", at positions 28 to 507 of the family's 1533-position model. The record is from RNAcentral.